AUGUAAAGGUAACGCAGAGAACUGAAACAUCUAAGUACCUGCAGGAAGAGAAAGUAAAAACGAUUUCGUAAGUAGCGGCGAGCGAACGCGAAGAAGGGCAAACCAAGAAGCUUGCUUCUUGGGGUUGUAGGACUGCAACGUGGACUUAAGCAUUAUAGUCGAAUAACCUGGGAAGGUUAAUCAAAGAGGGUAAUAAUCCCGUAGACGAAAUAGCGCUUAUACCUAGCAGUAUCCUGAGUAGGGCUGGACACGCGAAAUCCAGUUUGAAUCCGGGAGG
RNAcentral lists this ribosomal RNA (277 nucleotides) under Lactococcus lactis. RNAcentral describes it as "partial 23S ribosomal RNA". It matches the Rfam family "Bacterial large subunit ribosomal RNA", at positions 172 to 451 of the family's 2925-position model. Lineage: Bacteria; Bacillati; Bacillota; Bacilli; Lactobacillales; Streptococcaceae. The record is from RNAcentral.